CAUGCUCCUCAGUUAGUUCCUCAUGGGUAUCCAAUCCUUCGAUAGGAAGAAUGUUGGAUGGCCCAUUCCCUUGAAGAGCGACUACAUAGCAUUGCCAUGCCAAGGCUUGGUCUCCCCAAAUUUCUCCAAUCCUUAGCUUUAUUGGAAACUUCACUAGCAAAUGGUACGUCGACACCAUUGGCCCGAAGGACAUUCAACUCUGACCGUCCGAGGAUUACAUUGUAUGCUAAGGAAGUUCUGACCACCAGGAAGUUGAUUUACACAAUGGAUUGUCAAGGCACCUGACCCACC
Molecule: long non-coding RNA, 291 nt
Filed under: Elaeis guineensis (African oil palm)
Lineage: Eukaryota; Viridiplantae; Streptophyta; Magnoliopsida; Arecales; Arecaceae
Description: long non-coding RNA (EGUI_LNC030983)
Source: RNAcentral